UACGUAGGGGCAAGCGUUAUCCGGAUUUACUGGGUGUAAAGGGAGCGCAGACGGAACUGCAAGUCUGAUGUGAAAGCCCGGGGCUCAACCGCGGGACUGCAUCGGAUACUGUGGAUCUGGAGUGCCGGAGGGGCAAGCGGAAUUCCUGGUGUAGCGGUGAAAUGCGUAGAUAUCAGGAGGAACACCGGCGGCGAAGGCGGCUUGCUGGACGGCAACUGACGUUGAGGCUCGAAAGCGUGGGGAGCAAACAGGAUUAGAUA
This 260-nucleotide ribosomal RNA is filed under the name uncultured prokaryote. RNAcentral describes it as "partial 16S ribosomal RNA". It matches the Rfam family "Bacterial small subunit ribosomal RNA", at positions 524 to 784 of the family's 1533-position model. The record is from RNAcentral.